UACGUAGGGGGCCAGCGUUGCUCGGAAUUACUGGGCGUAAAGGGUUCGUAGGUGGUGCGGCAAGUUGGGAGUGAAAUCUCUGGGCUUAACCCAGAGGCUGCUUUCAAAACUGCCGUGCUCGAGUGCGAGAGGGGUCAGUGGAAUUGCAGGUGUAGCGGUGAAAUGCGUAGAUAUCUGCAGGAACACCCGUGGCGAAGGCGGCUGACUGGAUCGCAACUGACACUGAGGAACGAAAGCUAGGGGAGCAAACAGG
This 253-nucleotide ribosomal RNA is filed under the name uncultured bacterium. RNAcentral describes it as "partial 16S ribosomal RNA". It matches the Rfam family "Bacterial small subunit ribosomal RNA", at positions 524 to 776 of the family's 1533-position model. The record is from RNAcentral.